This 869-nucleotide ribosomal RNA is filed under the name Bacillus tequilensis. RNAcentral describes it as "bacterial SSU rRNA". It matches the Rfam family "Bacterial small subunit ribosomal RNA", at positions 64 to 914 of the family's 1533-position model. Lineage: Bacteria; Bacillati; Bacillota; Bacilli; Caryophanales; Bacillaceae. The record is from RNAcentral.
GAGCGGACAGAUGGGAGCUUGCUCCCUGAUGUUAGCGGCGGACGGGUGAGUAACACGUGGGUAACCUGCCUGUAAGACUGGGAUAACUCCGGGAAACCGGGGCUAAUACCGGAUGGUUGUCUGAACCGCAUGGUUCAGACAUAAAAGGUGGCUUCGGCUACCACUUACAGAUGGACCCGCGGCGCAUUAGCUAGUUGGUGAGGUAACGGCUCACCAAGGCGACGAUGCGUAGCCGACCUGAGAGGGUGAUCGGCCACACUGGGACUGAGACACGGCCCAGACUCCUACGGGAGGCAGCAGUAGGGAAUCUUCCGCAAUGGACGAAAGUCUGACGGAGCAACGCCGCGUGAGUGAUGAAGGUUUUCGGAUCGUAAAGCUCUGUUGUUAGGGAAGAACAAGUGCCGUUCAAAUAGGGCGGCACCUUGACGGUACCUAACCAGAAAGCCACGGCUAACUACGUGCCAGCAGCCGCGGUAAUACGUAGGUGGCAAGCGUUGUCCGGAAUUAUUGGGCGUAAAGGGCUCGCAGGCGGUUUCUUAAGUCUGAUGUGAAAGCCCCCGGCUCAACCGGGGAGGGUCAUUGGAAACUGGGGAACUUGAGUGCAGAAGAGGAGAGUGGAAUUCCACGUGUAGCGGUGAAAUGCGUAGAGAUGUGGAGGAACACCAGUGGCGAAGGCGACUCUCUGGUCUGUAACUGACGCUGAGGAGCGAAAGCGUGGGGAGCGAACAGGAUUAGAUACCCUGGUAGUCCACGCCGUAAACGAUGAGUGCUAAGUGUUAGGGGGUUUCCGCCCCUUAGUGCUGCAGCUAACGCAUUAAGCACUCCGCCUGGGGAGUACGGUCGCAAGACUGAAACUCAAAGGAAUUGAC